ACUCUAGAGAUAUGACUCAUCACUACAUCACGCGAGUGUAUGAUGUUAAUAUAAUUAAACACAUACAUAGCUUGAUGUUGAUGUAGUUUAUAUUUUUAAUUUAAUAUCCGGCAUGGACGACAACUCGACUUUAACGAUAUUAAUAUUAAUACGUGCGUAAAAUAUUUAUGCACGUUGUGUGUAUUUAGGUAUUAAAUCAGGUUGGCACACCUCGGGACCGGAACGCGAACGUAGAAUGCGCCGCGUCGACAGAAAGCAAAGUUACAACUGCCGGUAAAGUUUAUCUACCUAUGGUAAAUAUACCAAAUGUACCACUGUCUAGUAAUAACAGAAGAACUGGUACAUAGUAUGGGACACAAGGAAGACUGGAAUAUUUCAAGGACGCGUAAAUUGUACGUUGUGUGGGUCAAUUAAUUUCAAUGCCAACGGCGCGCGCUUUUGGUUUGGUCCUCUUAUUUUGAAACUUGAAGUAGGCAACUACAUACACAUUUCAUGGAUGUUUAUUUAAAAUUUAUGGCUAUUCUACGGACUAAUUUGCUUAAAAACAGUACUUUUCUAAUAGAGCAAUAUAAUUAGGCUAAUUUUACUACAGAAAUGAUGAGUUAUCACAACCUAAAAUAAAAGGUAAAAAGGUGAAUUAAAAAAUCAAUGAUUCGACCUUGAUAUGCGUUAUUUGAAGGACAAAUUGUUUAUUAUAAUUUAUAAAAGCUACUAAUACAAUUACAAUAUUCGCAUUUAAAAUAUUAAUUAAAAUUUAGUGCUUCGACGCUCACGAAACAUUUCCUCGAUCUCUUUCAGAGUUUUGUUUUUUGUUUCUGGUAGAAUAAAAUAGAGAAUUACAGUUCCCAAGAAAGUAAAUAACGCGAAACAUAAAAAUCCUCCAGCUAGACCAAAUGCAUCAAAUAAAUUUGGGCUUAGUUUAAUCACCAGGAAGAACGAAAAGAAAUAAGCAAACGUGCUGAAUCCGCAUCCGAUUCCUUUAACGAUCAAAGGAAAAAUUUCUCCACAAAUUACCCACGGUAAUGACGCAAUACCAAUUGAUGAAAAAACAAUAUAAGAUAUCAAUGAUAUCAAUGCAAGGAUAGAGUACACUUCAUGUUGGUUUUCACCUGAUUGGUAUAUAAAUAAAGCGAAACAACAAUGCGAUGCAGCGCUUCCAACUCCACUGAUGAUCAACAAUGGACGCACACGAAAGUUUCUUAUCAAUACGGCUCCUACCAACGUCAUUCCGACUCGUAUUACAUCAACGAUAACAGUCGAUGCAUAUUGAUUCAACAACGGCACAGUCUGACUCAAAAUAGUGAUUGAGUAAAACAUGAUUGCCUUGUUUCCGGAAAAGUGCAUAGUUAUCAUGAGCGUUGCACUGAUUGCAAGUGGCAUGAGCAGCAAUCGACUCAGGAACAACUUAGUCAUCUCUUUGAUCGAAUAAUUCGCGUUGGUCGUGUGUUCUCAGAUACCAACCAUACGGUUCUUUCAGAUAGAAUAUCAAACAAAGAUAAAUAAACAGAAUUAGAACUGUUAUGAUGAUGCAGGUUUUCCAUGAAAACAAUGCUCCCAGGACGUGAAUUAUCAGAAUUCCAACGGAAAGUCCCAAAAGUACGGAAGUUAGAAAAAAUCCUCUUAGUUGCGGAUGUGAUGUUUCUCCAAUAAAUUGUGGUAUGAUUGGAGCACCACCAGCGCUUGCAAUACCAGUUAAUAAUCUUCCUACUAAUAUUUCCGUUAGUGAUGUGUUGUAGUAAAUGAUCAACCAACCCGCAAUUUCAAUCAUUGCCAAGAGGCUGGCAAAUAAACGUUUUGGCAUUUUGUUGAUGAGAUAACCAGCUACCAAACACGAGGGUGCCAUUGGAAUAACCACAAUUGAUGCUAAACAUAUAAUAAUUAAACAACCUUUCAAUAAAAUAUUCAGUAAAAAUUA
This is a long non-coding RNA of Dalotia coriaria, 1915 nucleotides long. RefSeq lists it as uncharacterized. The record is from RefSeq and is a predicted model, not a curated record. The transcript is spliced from 3 exons. Lineage: Eukaryota; Metazoa; Arthropoda; Insecta; Coleoptera; Staphylinidae.